Molecule: ribosomal RNA, 503 nt
Filed under: uncultured bacterium
Lineage: Bacteria
Description: partial 16S ribosomal RNA
Rfam family: Bacterial small subunit ribosomal RNA
Source: RNAcentral
AUUGAACGCUGGCGGCAGGCUUAACACAUGCAAGUCGAGCGGGGUGAUGGUGCUUGCACUAUCACUUAGCGGCGGACGGGUGAGUAAUGCUUAGGAAUCUGCCUAUUAGUGGGGGACAACAUCUCGAAAGGGAUGCUAAUACCGCAUACGUCCUACGGGAGAAAGCAGGGGAUCACUUGUGACCUUGCGCUAAUAGAUGAGCCUAAGUCGGAUUAGCUAGUUGGUGGGGUAAAGGCCUACCAAGGCGACGAUCUGUAGCGGGUCUGAGAGGAUGAUCCGCCACACGGGGACUGGGACACGGCCCAGACUCCUACGGGAGGCAGCAGUGGGGAAUAUUGGACAAUGGGGGGAACCCUGAUCCAGCCAUGCCGCGUGUGUGAAGAAGGCCUUAUGGUUGUAAAGCACUCUAAGCGAGGAGGAGGCUCUUUUGGUUAAUACCCAAGAUGAGUGGACGUUACUCGCAGAAUAAGCACCGGCUAACUCUGUGCCAGCCGCCGCCGUAA